AUUCACAUAGUUUAAUAAAACAUUACACUUUCAUUGUAAAAUUAGAUUUAUAAUCUUGUAAAUA
Molecule: transfer RNA, 64 nt
Filed under: Pissodes strobi
Lineage: Eukaryota; Metazoa; Arthropoda; Insecta; Coleoptera; Curculionidae
Description: tRNA-Glu
Rfam family: tRNA
About the family: Transfer RNA (tRNA) molecules are approximately 80 nucleotides in length. Their secondary structure includes four short double-helical elements and three loops (D, anti-codon, and T loops).
Source: RNAcentral